This 451-nucleotide ribosomal RNA is filed under the name uncultured bacterium. RNAcentral's name for it is "bacterial SSU rRNA". It matches the Rfam family "Bacterial small subunit ribosomal RNA", at positions 354 to 796 of the family's 1533-position model. The record is from RNAcentral.
GUGGGGAAUUUUGCGCAAUGGGGGAAACCCUGACGCAGCAACGCCGCGUGAGUGAUGAAGGCCUUCGGGUCGUAAAGCUCUUUUAGUGGGGAAGAAAUUCAACGGUGCGAAUACCACCGUUGAUUGACGGUACUCACAGAAAAAGUUCCGGCUAACUCCGUGCCAGCAGCCGCGGUAAUACGGAGGGAGCAAGCGUUGUUCGGAAUUAUUGGGCGUAAAGCGCGCGCAGGCGGUUGGGUAAGUCAGACGUGGAAGCCCUUGGCUUAACCAAGGAAUUGCGUUUGAAACUGCCCGGCUAGAGUUCGGGAGAGGGUGGCGGAAUUCCCAGUGUAGAGGUGAAAUUCGUAGAUAUUGGGAGGAACACCUGUGGCGAAGGCGGCUACCUGGACCGAUACUGACGCUGAGGCGCGAAAGCGUGGGGAGCAAACGGGAUUAGAAACCCCAGUAGUCC